AAAAAGGAUAUGAAUCGCUUGUAGGCAGUGGACAAGCUGACUACAAGCACUCAAGCAAGAAAAGAGUUGCAUUUAAACAUGGUGAUGUUAUAUUAGGCAUGGAUGGAAGGAGAUACCAGCUCCUCAGUGGACCUCCAGGGCCUGUUGGACCACCAGGCAAAAGAGGGUGUGCAGGGAAAAGGGGCUAUAUUGGAUACAAGGGUGAUAAGGGUUCUCAAGGAGUCCGAGGAGCAGAUGGGCCAAGGGGCAUACCAGGACCUCCAGGUCCACCAGGACUCCCAGUCCUCUACCU
Sinocyclocheilus anshuiensis is the source of this 292-nucleotide long non-coding RNA. RefSeq lists it as uncharacterized. The transcript has 3 exons. The record is from RefSeq and is a predicted model, not a curated record. Lineage: Eukaryota; Metazoa; Chordata; Actinopteri; Cypriniformes; Cyprinidae.